GUCGAAUGACUUGGAAAAGUCAGUCAAAGAGGGUAAAAACCCCGUAGACGAAAUGUGGAAGACACCUAGGAGGAUCCUGAGUACGGCGGAACACGAGAAAUUCCGUCGGAAUCCGGGAGGACCAUCUCCCAAGGCUAAAUACUCCCUAGUGACCGAUAGUGAACCAGUACCGUGAGGGAAAGGUGAAAAGCACCCCGGAAGGGGAGUGAAAUAGAACCUGAAACCGUGUGCCUACAACAAGUCAAAGCCCGUUAAUGGGUGAUGGCGUGCCUUUUGUAGAAUGAACCGGCGAGUUACGAUUGCAUGCGAGGUUAAGUUGAAGAGACGGAGCCGCAGCGAAAGCGAGUCUGAAUAGGGCGUUUGAGUAUGUAGUCGUAGACCCGAAACCAUGUGAUCUACCCAUGUCCAGGUUGAAGGUGCGGUAAAACGCACUGGAGGACCGAACCCACGUACGUUGAAAAGUGCGGGGAUGAGGUGUGGGUAGCGGAGAAAUUCCAAACGAACUUGGAGAUAGCUGGUUCUCUCCGAAAUAGCUUUAGGGCUAGCCUCGGAAUUGAGAAUGAUGGAGGUAGAGCACUGUUUGGACUAGGGGCCCAUCUCGGGUUACCGAAUUCAGAUAAACUCCGAAUGCCAUUCAUUCAUAUCCGGGAGUCAGACUGUGAGUGAUAAGAUCCAUAGUCGAAAGGGAAACAGCCCAGACCACCAGCUAAGGUCCCAAAAUAUAUGUUAAGUGGAAAAGGAUGUGGGGUUGCACAGACAACUAGGAUGUUGGCUUAGAAGCAGCCACCAUUUAAAGAGUGCGUAAUAGCUCACUAGUCGAGUGACCCUGCGCCGAAAAUGUACCGGGGCUAAACAUAUUACCGAAGCUGUGGAGUACACCUUUAGGUGUAUUGGUAGGAGAGCGUUCUAAGGGCGUC
RNAcentral lists this ribosomal RNA (917 nucleotides) under Enterococcus faecium. Its description in RNAcentral is "partial 23S ribosomal RNA". It matches the Rfam family "Bacterial large subunit ribosomal RNA", at positions 332 to 1251 of the family's 2925-position model. The record is from RNAcentral. Lineage: Bacteria; Bacillati; Bacillota; Bacilli; Lactobacillales; Enterococcaceae.